RNAcentral lists this ribosomal RNA (253 nucleotides) under uncultured prokaryote. RNAcentral describes it as "partial 16S ribosomal RNA". It matches the Rfam family "Bacterial small subunit ribosomal RNA", at positions 523 to 775 of the family's 1533-position model. The record is from RNAcentral.
AUACGUAGGGCGCAAGCGUUGUCCGGAAUUAUUGGGCGUAAAGAGCUCGUAGGCGGCUUGUCGCGUCGGAUGUGAAAGCCCGGGGCUUAACCCCGGGUCUGCAUUCGAUACGGGCAGGCUAGAGUGUGGUAGGGGAGAUCGGAAUUCCUGGUGUAGCGGUGAAAUGCGCGGAUAUCAGGAGGAACACCGGUGGCGAAGGCGGAUCUCUGGGCCAUUACUGACGCUGAGGAGCGAAAGCGUGGGGAGCGAACAG